CUGUGCCUACGGGGGGCAGCAGUGAGGAAUAUUGGUCAAUGGGCGAGAGCCUGAACCAGCCAAGUCGCGUGAGAGAAGACGGUCCUAUGGAUUGUAAACCUCUUUUGUCGGGGAGCAAAACGGCCUCGUGAUGCCACAAGUGAGCGUACCCGAAGAAACAGCAUCCGCUAACUCCGUGCCAGCAGCCGCGGUAAUACGGAGGAUGCGAUAGUUAUCCGGAUUUAUUUGUUUUAAA
This 235-nucleotide ribosomal RNA is filed under the name uncultured bacterium. RNAcentral's name for it is "partial 16S ribosomal RNA". It matches the Rfam family "Bacterial small subunit ribosomal RNA", at positions 333 to 564 of the family's 1533-position model. The record is from RNAcentral.